AGCGAACGCUAGCGGCGGGCCUAACACAUGCAAGUCGAGCGCAUACCUUCGGGUAUGAGCGGCGGACGGGUGAGUAACACGUAGGUAAUCUACCCUUUGGUGGGGAAUAACCCGGGGAAACUCGGGCUAAUGCCGCACGAGGUCUACGGAUCAAAGCCUUCGGGCGCCAGAGGAUGAGCCUGCGUUGCAUUACCUAGUUGGCGGGGUAACGGCCCACCAAGGGGACGAUGCAUAGCUGGUCUGAGAGGAUGAUCAGCCACACUGGGACUGAGACACGGCCCAGACUCCUACGGGAGGCAGCAGUGGGGAAUAUUGCGCAAUGGGGGAAACCCUGACGCAGCUACGCCGCGUGGGUGAUGAAGGCCUUCGGGUUGUAAAGCCCUGUCGGGAGGGACGGAAUAACUGACGGUACCUCCCAACGAAAGCACCGGCUAACUCCGUGCCAGCAGCCGCGGUAAU
This 459-nucleotide ribosomal RNA is filed under the name uncultured bacterium. Its description in RNAcentral is "bacterial SSU rRNA". It matches the Rfam family "Bacterial small subunit ribosomal RNA", at positions 29 to 524 of the family's 1533-position model. The record is from RNAcentral.